UCAGUUAGUUUUUAAACUUCACCCCCUUCAGUUUUAAUGUUGGUCCACACUGCUACAUGGCGGUAAUGCACCUUCACGUUGUUGCCAUUAAAUGGAAAAGAAGAAGAGUUUGUGUAUUGCACCUGUUUGGUUGGCAAGCUAGCUAAAGUAGUUUUGGUAGUAUUGAAAUAAACGAACAUUGGAAGAAGUUUUCAACAUUGCCGAUGUAAAGGGAAAGUUUUGGAGAUGAGGAGACACAACUCUCCCGUAGUCAUAUUGGUGAAGCUGAGACGAAGAUGUUGGACUUCUACAAUGCCAUAAAAUAAGGCGGAUGAAUACAACUCUACAAACUCUCGGCUGCUGUCCGUUCAGCUCCUCACUCUGCCUACAGGGCAGUCCUGGAAGGAUGGUAGACAACCGCGCCGAUAAGAAUUGGGCUGACGUUACGUGCUGGUCUUAUCCUGGACACAAUGUGAUGUAAAAUGGUUUAAUGUUUGUAGAAACCAAAAGGCAUUACUCUACACCAGGGGUGCCCAAAAGGUCGAUCGCGAGUGUAGUGCGGGUAGAUCGCGCACCGUUAAAAAAAGUUUUUUGUUUUUAUCUUGCCUUGCGCAUUCACCUCCUCCACUCUGUUUCGCUCCCGCACACACCAGUCAGAGACAGAGCGGGGGAAAGGAGAGGAGCGAACUACGCACCAGGAUAAUCUUAAUAAAGACAUUAUGUCAUGGCGAAGAAUUUUCUGAUCUUGUAGUUUGAGUGUGUUUGCGAGUUGAGGGACGAGCAGGAAAUCUGUGAACAAUUUAUUUCCAGGGAAAACUGUUGACAGCUAAUUUUGUGAGUUAUCCUGAAUUAUCAGGACAUUGAAAAAUAAAUUGCUGUAGAGUUUUUUUAAAUGUAAGCUUUCAAUGCUUUAAGUA
This is a long non-coding RNA of Cottoperca gobio, 896 nucleotides long. RefSeq lists it as uncharacterized. Lineage: Eukaryota; Metazoa; Chordata; Actinopteri; Perciformes; Bovichtidae. The transcript has 3 exons. The record is from RefSeq and is a predicted model, not a curated record.